RNAcentral lists this ribosomal RNA (206 nucleotides) under uncultured bacterium. RNAcentral's name for it is "partial 16S ribosomal RNA". It matches the Rfam family "Bacterial small subunit ribosomal RNA", at positions 568 to 774 of the family's 1533-position model. The record is from RNAcentral.
UGCGCAGGCGGUUAUGCAAGACAGAUGUGAAAUCCCCGGGCUCAACCUGGGAACUGCAUUUGUGACUGCAUAGCUGGAGUGCGGCAGAGGGGGAUGGAAUUCCGCGUGUAGCAGUGAAAUGCGUAGAUAUGCGGAGGAACACCGAUGGCGAAGGCAAUCCCCUGGGCCUGCACUGACGCUCAUGCACGAAAGCGUGGGAGCAAACA